UAAAAUUUAUAAAAUUAGGUAAUAAAGAAUUUUCUGAAACCUAAAGAAUUUGGCGGUAUUUUAAAUAAUUGGAGGAACCUGUUAUUUAAUUGAUAAUCCACAACAUAUCUUACCUAAAUUUUAUUUGUAUAUCGUCGUCUUGACAAUAUUUAAAAAUUAUUAUCAAUAUUAAUAAACUUUUUGAAAUCAGAUCAAGGUGCAGUAUAUUUAGGAGAUAAUGGGUUACAAUAUAAAAAUAUAAACGAAUAUAAAAAUGAAAUUAUAUUGAAGGUGGAUUCAAAAGUAAAAUUAAAUUAAAGUGUUAAUUUGGUUAAUAAUUUAAAAUAUGC
This 329-nucleotide ribosomal RNA is filed under the name Konetontli chamelaensis. RNAcentral's name for it is "partial 12S ribosomal RNA". The record is from RNAcentral. Lineage: Eukaryota; Metazoa; Arthropoda; Arachnida; Scorpiones; Vaejovidae.